This is a long non-coding RNA of Anser brachyrhynchus (Pink-footed goose), 1728 nucleotides long. The record is from Ensembl. Lineage: Eukaryota; Metazoa; Chordata; Aves; Anseriformes; Anatidae.
UUUGGGUUGGUAUAUGUGCCUCUUGAUUGUCGUGUGUAUGAUAAACAUUCUUUUUAAAUUGGUGCCAAGCUAAGCAAAGUCUUUUAUUUAACUCAAUGGCAUAUCUUUGUGUGACAUGAUACCUUUGAAUCACUGCCUUUCUUAUCAGAGGAUCAGAAGUCUGGCAUAGAAAAUGGGGAGAAAGUGUGCCCACAUCCUUCUUGACAAGGGAGAAAACUGAGAUUGCAAGGAAUUUCUGAGCUGGGUUCUGGUUGGUCAGAUUUCUCUGUAUAUGUCAUCUUUUUCCAUCUGGAAAUUUGUUUGCAGGAAGAAUUUGAGUCUUUUCUUUGUCUGUUCAGGAUUUAUGGAUGUUCAGUAGAUUAAGCAGAGACACUGCACAGCUUGGAGAUUCCAGGAGCUACUAAACAACAAUAACGGACGGUGCAUUCAGUGUUGUAUACUGCUCCCAUGCACUGCUGAUCAAAAUGGAAUACUGGGAAUGCUGCAUUUCAACUGAGCCCGACAGGAAGGAUUAACUGGGACAAGCACUGAAUUGCACUUGACCUUGGAUGUUUCUGAAAUGUACUGGUAAGAGAAGGUGGCCCUGGAGACUUAUCGCAGGCAAGCCCCUCAGAAGAGCAGCGUGCUGGAAAAUUACACCUCCAGAGCGGGUUUGGAGGCUGGCUUCUCACCGCAGCCCUGCACCUUGCAAGCGUCUGCCACAGUUGGAGCUUGCACACUCAGCCUGAGGUAAAUCAUAAAAGUUUGCUCCUGAACAGUCAUUUCGUUGAGUGCCUCUAAAUCUGUUUUUGCAGUCACGUCAGUUCACAAGUUGACAGUCAGCUUAACUUAAAACAGAGUACAAGCUUCACUGUCCUCAGUGCUGUGAGGCUACUCUGGAAGACGUGGUGUCUGCUCCAGCUUUCCCUCCCUGGGGUACUGCAGCUCCCCAUAGACCCCUAACUGGUGGCUGAAUGCCACAAGUUACACUUCUGAAUGUGUCAUUACUGCUGUUUUACUGUAGUGACUGAUUUAUUAUGCAAGUCUGCGGUUGUACUGUAAUCAGAAAUCCAUGUGGCUUUGGGGAGACAUGAGAGGGUAACCAACAUUAGUCUAGGGUGGAUUUGAACUCUGUAGGUGUUGAGUUGUCACCAAAAAUAUUUACCUUCCCUUUAAUAUGCUACACAGUAGAUUACCUUCUUAUUCUAAACAAACAAACAAAAUAUAAUGAAUUAAAAGACCUUGUGAUAUAUUAAAGAAAUUCAAAAGACUUAAAAGAGGGGAACAAAGGGGCAGUCAUAUAGAACGUGAUAUCUGAAACAAGAGCCAAGUUUAAAAAAUGAUUAGCUGUUUACUGGCCAAAGAAAACAAAUCUCUGUUAGGCUUAACCUGCCUAUUCCUCUCCUAAGUCUCAAAUACCAACACAUGGGAGUCCUAUGGUGGAAAUUUAGGUUUAAUUCUGUUUUGUUUUACUUGGCGAUUGUAUUCCUCCAACCUUAUUGUUUUUCAGCAUUCAGUAUGUUUAAUUCUGCAUCUCAAUAUAAGGUAUAUUAUAAGAGCACAGUCAAUAGGUCCUGCAAAAUAAUAUAAACAUCACUUCUCCUUAUGACAUGUAGCAUAAUUCCGAGGGACUGGCCUAGAGGAAAAGCUUCCCUUACGACAUAUUUUACCCAUGAAGAACCCAUUUCAUGUCUCCACAAUAGAUAGAUGAAAAAUGUACUAAAUAUCAGUCAUAGCUGACCGCUACAA